CUUUUCCUGCUGGGCUCUGGAGCUGGCUGCACACGCGAGCUGCCCGGGACAUGGCUGCUCUGGAGCGCCUUUUCCCAUUCCCAUUCCUGUUCUCAUUCCUGUUCCUGUUCCUGUUCCUGUUCCCAUUCCUGUUCCCGUUCCUGUUCACCCCAUUCCCAUUCCCCAUUCCCAUUCCCAUUCCCAUUCCCACUCCUGUUCCCAUUCCCAUUUCCAUUCCCAUUCCCAUUCCCAUUUCCAUUCCCAUUCCCGUUCUCAUUCCUGUUCCCAUUCCUGUUCCCGUUCCUGUUCCUGUUCCUGUUCACCCCAUUCCCAUUCCCAUUCCCAUUUCCAUUCCCAUUCCCAUUCCCAUUCCCAUUCCCAUUCCCACUCCCAUUCCCAUUUCCUUUCCCGUUCCCACUCCCAUUCCCAUUCCCGUUCCCAUUCCCGUUCCCAUUCCCGUUCCCAUUCCCACUCCCAUUCCCGUUCCCAUUCCCGUUCCCAUUCCCGUUCCCAUUCCCACUCCCAUUCCCGUUCCCGUUGCCGGUACCAUGAUGGAGCUCCCGCCGCAUUCCCACGGCUCUCCAGUGCACAGCCAGCCCGUUCCAGGCCCGGCCUGUUGCUCCGGGGUCACCCGUUCAUGUUUACUGCAGGGAAGGAGGCCGCGGCAAACAUUCCCAAACAUUCCUGCUGCCUGCCCCAGCCGGCCGGGAGCUCUCCCGCCGCGCCGGCCGGGCCUGGGAACGGCGGCCGGACACGGAGCCCAGCUCUGCCCGCCCGCUGCAGGUGCAGCCACAGGGGACAGGGCCCUGGUGGCCCUUUUGGGGGCUCUUUUAGGCCAAGGAGGUUUGGGAGAUUCGGGAUCAGCCUGGAGAAACUUUGGAUGGAGCCUGACCACACCAGCCCCUUCCUGGGUUUCUCCAGAGGGGAGUGUGACCCCAGUCCUUUUAGGCCCUCACACUGCACCCAUUCAGGGGUUGUGCCCCACAGCUCCGUCCCCAAAUAUCCGUCAAUCCCUCUCCUAGGGGGCUUUUCCCCCUCAACCCCUCCGGUGCUAUCGUGGUUAAUGAAGGCCCGGCCAGCGCCAAGAGCCGAGCGCUGCUGUCCAACCUCAGCUUCCCCUCCCCGGGGGCAGCCGGGCCCCCCUGAAGCUUUCCAGCAGGGAAACCCCCACACAUCUGGCAGGAGCCGCUGCCCAUCCCCGCCGAGCCGAGGAGGAGCUGCCAGGGAGGGCAGGAGGUGGCCGGAGAGGUCAGGGGGAGAGCAAACAUCCCGGCCCUGCCAGCGCAGCCGCCGGCUCCAGCUCCAGCUGCCACACAAAGAGCCCCUUCUGGAAGUGGGGCUGAGCCCUUGGGGGCUUUGGGGAGGAAAUUUGGC
This 1353-nucleotide long non-coding RNA is filed under the name Parus major (Great Tit). Its description in RNAcentral is "lncRNA (ENSPMJG00000016255.1)". Lineage: Eukaryota; Metazoa; Chordata; Aves; Passeriformes; Paridae. The record is from RNAcentral.